GGACAGAGUUCAACUUGAUGUAUGCCUACUCCCCUUUGAACGCUAUGCCUCGAGCAGAUGGACUGUAUCGAGGAUCUCCUCUAGUGGGGGAUAGGAAGUCUUUACAUUUGGAUGGGGGAUAUUGUUCCCCUGCAGAAGGAUUUUCCAGCAGAUAUGAACAUGGCUUAAUGAAAGACCUCUCUCGUGGAUCCUUGUCACCUGGUGGUGAAAGGGCCUGUGAAGGAGUCCCAUCUGCCCCCCAGAACCCACCACAGAGGAAAAAAGUAUCCCUGCUGGAGUACCGAAAACGGAAACAAGAAGCUAAGGAAAAUUCUGCUGGUGGGGGAGGUGACUCUGCACAGAGCAAAAGCAAGCCUGCAGGAGCUGGGCAAGGCAGCAGUAACUCCGUUUCUGACACUGGUGCCCAUGGUGUGCAGGGAUCCUCAGCCCGAACUCCAUCUUCCCCUCACAAAAAAUUCUCCCCAUCUCAUUCCUCUAUGUCCCAUUUGGAGGCGGUAAGCCCAUCAGAUUCCAGAGGCACUUCUUCAUCUCACUGCAGACCUCAAGAGAAUAUCAGCAGUAGGUGGAUGGUUCCCACAUCAGUAGAACGACUCCGAGAAGGAGGGAGCAUCCCCAAGGUCCUCCGAAGCAGCGUGAGGGUGGCCCAAAAGGGAGAGCCCUCUCCCACAUGGGAGAGUAACAUCACAGAGAAAGACUCAGGUGAGCCCAUGGCCUUCUACUGCCACCACAUUCAGGGACACGUGAGCCAAGUCCUGUACAGUUCAUGCCUAGUGCUGAGUUGAGGUGAGUCAGUUUCUGAUGCAGUUGGGCUCCGCCGUAUGCUAGGUUCCAGCCCACUUAUGCUCAUUUGGGCUACAACAUUUGUAAGAUCUAGCAUUGCUUGCUC
RNAcentral lists this small RNA (886 nucleotides) under Pan troglodytes (chimpanzee). Its description in RNAcentral is "retained intron". The record is from RNAcentral. Lineage: Eukaryota; Metazoa; Chordata; Mammalia; Primates; Hominidae.